RNAcentral lists this ribosomal RNA (505 nucleotides) under uncultured bacterium. RNAcentral's name for it is "partial 16S ribosomal RNA". It matches the Rfam family "Bacterial small subunit ribosomal RNA", at positions 29 to 523 of the family's 1533-position model. The record is from RNAcentral.
AGUGAACGCUGGCGGUAGGCCUAACACAUGCAAGUCGAACGGCAGCACAGGAGAGCUUGCUCUCUGGGUGGCGAGUGGCGGACGGGUGAGGAAUACAUCGAAAUCUACUUUUUCGUGGGGGAUAACGUAGGGAAACUUACGCUAAUACCGCAUACGACCUACGGGUGAAAGCAGGGGACCUUCGGGCCUUGCGCGAUUGAAUGAGCCGAUGUCGGAUUAGCUAGUUGGCGGGGUAAAGGCCCACCAGGCGACGAUCCGUAGCUGGUCUGAGAGGAUGAUCAGCCACACUGGAACUGAGACACGGUCCAGACGCCUACGGGAGGCAGCAGUGGGGAAUAUUGGACAAUGGGCGCAAGCCUGAUCCAGCCAUACCGCGUGGGUGAAGAAGGCCUUCGGGUUGUAAAGCCCUUUUGUUGGGAAAGAAAUCCAGCUGGCUAAUACCCGGUUGGGAUGACGGUACCCAAAGAAUAAGCACCGGCUAACUUCGUGCCAGCCGCCGCAGUAA